CCUACGGGGUGCAGCAGUGGGGAAUAUUGGGCAAUGGGCGCAAGCCUGACCCAGCAACGCCGCGUGAAGGAAGAAGGCUUUCGGGUUGUUAACUUCUUUUAAGAGGGAAGAGCAGAAGACGGUACCUCUUGAAUAAGCCACUGCUAACUACGUGCCAGCAGCCGCGGUAAUACGUAGGUGGCAAGCGUUGUCCGGAUUUACUGGGUGUAAAGGGCGUGUAGGCGGGAUGACAAGUCAGAUGUGAAAUUCCGGGGCUCAACCCCGGACCUGCAAUUGAAACUGUUGGUCUUGAGUAUCGGAGAGGCAGGCGGAAUUCCUAGUGUAGCGGUGAAAUGCGUAGAUAUUAGGAAGAACACCAGUGGCGAAGGCGGCCUGCUGGACGACAACUGACGGUGAGGCGCGAAAGCGUGGGGAGCAAACAGGAUUAGAUACCCGGGUAGUC
Molecule: ribosomal RNA, 442 nt
Filed under: uncultured bacterium
Lineage: Bacteria
Description: partial 16S ribosomal RNA
Rfam family: Bacterial small subunit ribosomal RNA
Source: RNAcentral